UACGUAGGGUCCAAGCGUUAUCCGGAAUCACUGGGCGUAAAGCGUGCGUAGGUGGCGUGUUAAGUGUGAUGUUAAAUCGUGUGGCUCAACCAUAUCGAUGUGUCGCAUACUGGCAUGCUAGAGGGAAGCAGAGGCAAGUGGAAUUUGUAGUGUAGCAGUGAAAUGCGUAGAUAUUACAAGGAACACCAAUGGCGAAGGCAGCUUGCUGGGCUUCUUCUGACACUGAGGUACGAAAGGCGUGGGGAGCGAACAGG
Molecule: ribosomal RNA, 254 nt
Filed under: uncultured bacterium
Lineage: Bacteria
Description: partial 16S ribosomal RNA
Rfam family: Bacterial small subunit ribosomal RNA
Source: RNAcentral